UACGGGGGGGGCAAGCGUUGUUCGGAAUUACUGGGCGCAAAGGGUCUGUAGGUGGCCAACUAAGUCAGACGUGAAAUCCCUCAGCUUAACUGGGGAACUGCGUCUGAGACUGGAUGGCUUGAGUGCAGGAGAGGAACGCGGAAUUCCAGGUGUAGCGGUGAAAUGCGUAGAUAUCUGGAGGAACACCGGUGGCGAAGGCGGCGUUCUGGACUGCAACUGACACUGAGAGACGAAAGCCAGGGGAGCAAACGGG
This 253-nucleotide ribosomal RNA is filed under the name uncultured bacterium. RNAcentral describes it as "partial 16S ribosomal RNA". It matches the Rfam family "Bacterial small subunit ribosomal RNA", at positions 524 to 776 of the family's 1533-position model. The record is from RNAcentral.